Molecule: non-coding RNA, 111 nt
Filed under: Aeromonas salmonicida subsp. salmonicida
Lineage: Bacteria; Pseudomonadati; Pseudomonadota; Gammaproteobacteria; Aeromonadales; Aeromonadaceae
Source: RNAcentral
GGUACUUAACGGUAUCCGCUUCCUGCUCGAAGCUGUUACCCACCGGGUUCUAAGGUCGCCAAACCGAAGAUAUCCGGGCAAAGAACCCACCUUACGGUGGGUUUUUUGUUU